AAAUUGAAGAGUUUGAUCAUGGCUCAGAUUGAACGCUGGCGGCAGGCCUAACACAUGCAAGUCGAACGGUAACAGGAAGCAGCUUGCUGUUUCGCUGACGAGUGGCGGACGGGUGAGUAAUGUCUGGGAAACUGCCUGAUGGAGGGGGAUAACUACUGGAAACGGUAGCUAAUACCGCAUAACGUCGCAAGACCAAAGAGGGGGACCUUCGGGCCUCUUGCCAUCGGAUGUGCCCAGAUGGGAUUAGCUUGUUGGUGGGGUAACGGCUCACCAAGGCGACGAUCCCUAGCUGGUCUGAGAGGAUGACCAGCCACACUGGAACUGAGACACGGUCCAGACUCCUACGGGAGGCAGCAGUGGGGAAUAUUGCACAAUGGGCGCAAGCCUGAUGCAGCCAUGCCGCGUGUAUGAAGAAGGCCUUCGGGUUGUAAAGUACUUUCAGCGGGGAGGAAGGGAGUAAAGUUAAUACCUUUACUCAUUGACGUUACCCGCAGAAGAAGCACCGGCUAACUCCGUGCCAGCAGCCGCGGUAAUACGGAGGGUGCAAGCGUUAAUCGGAAUUACUGGGCGUAAAGCGCACGCAGGCGGUUUGUUAAGUCAGAUGUGAAAUCCCCGGGCUCAACCUGGGAACUGCAUCUGAUACUGGCAAGCUUGAGUCUCGUAGAGGGGGGUAGAAUUCCAGGUGUAGCGGUGAAAUGCGUAGAGAUCUGGAGGAAUACCGGUGGCGAAGGCGGCCCCCUGGACGAAGACUGACGCUCAGGUGCGAAAGCGUGGGGAGCAAACAGGAUUAGAUACCCUGGUAGUCCACGCCGUAAACGAUGUCGACUUGGAGGUUGUGCCCUUGAGGCGUGGCUUCCGGAGCUAACGCGUUAAGUCGACCGCCUGGGGAGUACGGCCGCAAGGUUAAAACUCAAAUGAAUUGACGGGGGCCCGCACAAGCGGUGGAGCAUGUGGUUUAAUUCGAUGCAACGCGAAGAACCUUACCUGGUCUUGACAUCCACAGAACCCUGUAGAGAUACGGGGGUGCCUUCGGGAACUGUGAGACAGGUGCUGCAUGGCUGUCGUCAGCUCGUGUUGUGAAAUGUUGGGUUAAGUCCCGCAACGAGCGCAACCCUUAUCCUUUGUUGCCAGCGGUCCGGCCGGGAACUCAAAGGAGACUGCCAGUGAUAAACUGGAGGAAGGUGGGGAUGACGUCAAGUCAUCAUGGCCCUUACGACCAGGGCUACACACGUGCUACAAUGGCGCAUACAAAGAGAAGCGACCUCGCGAGAGCAAGCGGAUCUCAUAAAGUGCGUCGUAGUCCGGAUUGGAGUCUGCAACUCGACUCCAUGAAGUCGGAAUCGCUAGUAAUCGUGGAUCAGAAUGCCACGGUGAAUACGUUCCCGGGCCUUGUACACACCGCCCGUCACACCAUGGGAGUGGGUUGCAAAAGAAGUAGGUAGCUUAACCUUCGGGAGGGCGCUUACCACUUUGUGAUUCAUGACUGGGGUGAAGUCGUAACAAGGUAACCGUAGGGGAACCUGCGGUUGGAUCACCUCCUUACCUUAAAGAAGC
This 1554-nucleotide ribosomal RNA is filed under the name Escherichia coli. Its description in RNAcentral is "bacterial SSU rRNA". It matches the Rfam family "Bacterial small subunit ribosomal RNA". The record is from RNAcentral. Lineage: Bacteria; Pseudomonadati; Pseudomonadota; Gammaproteobacteria; Enterobacterales; Enterobacteriaceae.